This 1386-nucleotide long non-coding RNA is filed under the name Vulpes vulpes (red fox). RNAcentral's name for it is "lncRNA (ENSVVUG00000022511.1)". Lineage: Eukaryota; Metazoa; Chordata; Mammalia; Carnivora; Canidae. The record is from RNAcentral.
GGAGAGGCCCCCGCCCCGGGGUCAGCCCGCCUCCCACAGGCCUCUGCGCGCUUCCGGCCCCCGGGCGGCGCUGUCCGGCCCGGCCCGGCCCGCCCGCGCGGUUCGCGCCUCUGCCGUGUCUCCUCAACUGGCACGUUUGAGGACCAGGCCUUGAGAGAGCAAGAUGGCGGAACUGCGGUCAGGGGCUGCCGCUGCGUCUGCUUUGGCGGGAGAAGUGUUGAACUAUAUCCACUUCCUCGUUUCCUGUUCUACUCUCAGCAUUCGCCUCUGCUUUCUGAGGGACUAAGACUUGGCUCAACUCAGAGAGUAUUCAUGAACACAAAGAAUCCUUCAUGGUCUGAAGAAUCGUGAUAGAGUGAAAUACAGGCUAGUGGAAGAUUAUGGAGAGUCCGGGUAAGGAAAACCACUACAUUCUGCCUUGUAGUGUCAGAUGGCUGAUGGUUGGACUGAGAAAUGAUCUCCAUCCUUUCCACACUCCGUAAAUGAGGUCAACUGGCUGUCAGGUAGGUCUCUUGUCCCUCCUCUUUAGUCCCCUCCCCUCAUCUCAUUUUUCUCAUUGCCAUGUCUCUUUUAGUAUGACUACCCCUGGCAAUGACAUUUUGGACAAUGAAGUGUGCUGUUGAAAUGUAUUCUGGCUUAAUAGGAAUUUCUUCUAUAAUUCAUUCAACUUCUCAACCUGACUUCAUGAUCCACCAUAAUCCAUUAAAAUGAGAAAACUGGCACAUAGACCGGUUCAAUGUUUUAGUCCCAAAAUUAGUGACCAGAAUUCAGUUCUCUCACUUUCUAACAUGACUCCCUUUCUAUGUAAUGCCCAGACUUCAAUCAAAUGAACUAUAUGUAUUUUGUUGGAGACAGUUAUUUUCAGAGAAGGGCCUUAUCUUCAGCUCUGUUGUUCAGCAUGGCCAUGGUUUUCCUGUCAGUCCUAGUACUCUUUGAGGCAAAACAGCAUUGAUUGUGACAGUGAAGACACAGCCUGAUGACUGAGUUUGAGGCUGUUCAUUUAGAUCUGAGAAAGCCUUUUGUCACAGGGCUACACUUUGCUGGGGUCCUUUGCCCUUUUGACAAUGACUUUCUUCUAAGUCACUAAGUUUGAAGUUAAAGUUGGUUGAGAAGUUUAAAGAGGAGGGUACUGGAGGUUUGUAUAUUUUAAGAUAGAGUGCUGUGUAUUUGACAUAUGCAUUGAUAGAAGAUUGAAUAUCUCAGAAUUAUGUACAGUGCUAUUGCUUCUUAGAGCAUUUAAUGUGUAUGUGUUUAGUAAAACUUUUUACUAAGAUUAUUUUCAUUUUAAUCAAUUUUGUUGAACAUUUUGGAAAGAAAUCCACAUCCAACUGAAUUAAUCCAAGACAUAUUAUUUAUUUCCCCUUACAAACAUUACUUUAAAGUUUA